Molecule: ribosomal RNA, 497 nt
Filed under: uncultured bacterium
Lineage: Bacteria
Description: partial 16S ribosomal RNA
Rfam family: Bacterial small subunit ribosomal RNA
Source: RNAcentral
GAUGAACGCUGGCGGCGUGCUUAACACAUGCAAGUCGAACGAAGCAUUUAGAACGGAUUACUUCGGUUUGAAGUUCUUUAUGACUGAGUGGCGGACGGGUGAGUAACGCGUGGGUAACCUGCCUUGUACUGGGGGAUAGCAGCUGGAAACGGUGGUUAAUACCGCAUAAGCGUCCAAUGUUGCAUGACAUGGUGCGAAAAACUGCGGUGGUAUAGGAUGGAACCGCGUCUGAUUAGCGAGUUGGUGUGAUAACAGCCCAACAAGGCGACGAUCAGUAGCCGACCUGGGAUGGUGAUCGGGCACAAUGGGACUGAGACACGGCCCAGACUCUUAAAGGAGGCAGCAGUGGCGAAUAUUGCACAAUGGAGGAAACUCUGAUGCAGCGACGCCGAGUGAGUGAAGAAGUAAUUCGUUAUGUAAAGCUGUAUCAGCAGGGAAGAUAGUGACGGUACCUGACUAAGAAGCUCCGGCUAAAUACGUGCCAGCCGCCGCAGUAA